This 265-nucleotide ribosomal RNA is filed under the name uncultured bacterium. Its description in RNAcentral is "partial 16S ribosomal RNA". It matches the Rfam family "Bacterial small subunit ribosomal RNA", at positions 793 to 1055 of the family's 1533-position model. The record is from RNAcentral.
GUCCACGCCGUAAACGAUGGGCACUAGGUGCUUAGGGGAGCGACCCUCUGGGUACCGGCGCUAACGCAUGAAGUGCCCCGCCUGGGGAGUACGGCCGCAAGGCUGAAACUCAAAGGAAUUGACGGGGGCCCGCACAAGCGGUGGAGCAUGUGGUUUAAUUCGACGCAACGCGCAGAACCUUACCUAGGCUUGACAUGCUGGGGAAAGCUGGUGGAAACACUGGCCCCUCUUCGGAGCCCCAGCACAGGUGCUGCAUGGCUGUCGU